Molecule: ribosomal RNA, 253 nt
Filed under: uncultured bacterium
Lineage: Bacteria
Description: partial 16S ribosomal RNA
Rfam family: Bacterial small subunit ribosomal RNA
Source: RNAcentral
UACGUAGGGUGCUAGCGUUAUCCGGAUUUACUGGGCGUAAAGGGUGCGUAGGCGGUUUUUUAAGUCUGAUGUGAAAGCCCACGGCUCAACCGUGGAGGGUCAUUGGAAACUGGAAAACUUGAGUGCAGAAGAGGAAAGUGGAAUUCCAUGUGUAGCGGUGAAAUGCGCAGAGAUAUGGAGGAACACCAGUGGCGAAGGCGACUUUCUGGUCUGCAACUGACGCUGAUGUGCGAAAGCGUGGGGAUCAAACAGG